GUCCAAAAUAAGCAAAUCUAUAGAGACAGAAAAUAGAUUAGUGGUUGCCUAGUGGUGGGAGGGUCUGCAGGGAAUUGGGGAAAGUUGACUGCUAAAGAGUAUGUGGAUGGUGUUUGACCCGUCGGUCGGUGAGUAAGAAGAAAAGGAAGGAGGAGGUCCAGAGUAGCGGUUGCCGAAAUGUUCCGGUGUGGAGGCCUUGCGGCAGGUGCUUUGAAGCAGAAGCUGGUGCCCUUGGUGCGGACCGUGUGUGUCCGAAGCCCGAGGCAGAGGAACCGGCUCCCAGGCAACUUGUUCCAGCGAUGGCAUGUUCCUCUAGAACUCCAGAUGACAAGACAAAUGGCUAGCUCUGGUGCAUCAGGGGGCAAAAUCCAUAAUUCUGUAUUAGUCCUUAUUGUGGGCUUGUCAACAAUAGGAGCUGGUGCAUAUGUCUACAAGACUAUAAAAGAUGACAAAAAAAGAUAUAAUGAAAGAAUAUCAGAGUUAGGGCUGACACCAGAAGAGAAACAGAAAAGGGCCGCAUCAUCUUCUGCAGAAGGAGAGCCAAUUUCUCAAGUCAGGGUACCAAGUCAUGUUCCUUUCCUACUAAUCGGUGGAGGCACUGCUGCUUUUGCUGCAGCUAGAUCCAUCCGAGCUCGGGAUCCUGGGGCCAGGGUACUGAUUAUAUCUGAAGAUCCUGAGCUGCCAUACAUGAGACCUCCUCUUUCAAAAGAAUUAUGGUUUUCAGAUGAUCCAAAUGUCACAAAGACACUGCGAUUCAGACAGUGGAAUGGAAAAGAGAGAAGCAUAUAUUUCCAGCCACCUUCUUUCUAUGUCUCUGCUCAGGACCUACCUCACAUUGAGAAUGGUGGUGUGGCUGUCCUCACUGGAAAGAAGGUAGUACAGCUGGAUGUGAGAGACAACAUGGUGAAACUUAAUGAUGGCUCUCAAAUAACCUAUGAAAAGUGCUUGAUUGCAACAGGAGGCACUCCAAGAAGUCUGUCUGCCAUUGAUAGGGCUGGAGCAGAGGUGAAGAGCAGAACAACACUUUUCAGAAAGAUUGGAGACUUUAGAGCCAUAGAGAAGAUUUCACGGGAAGUCAAGUCAAUUACGAUUAUUGAUGGGGGCUUCCUUGGUAGCGAACUGGCCUGUGCUCUUGGCAGAAAAGCUCAAGCCUUGGGCACAGAAGUGAUUCAACUCUUCCCUGAGAAAGGAAAUAUGGGAAAGAUCCUCCCUGAAUACCUCAGGAACUGGACCAUGGAAAAAGUCAGACAAGAGGGGGUUAAGGUGAUGCCCGAUGCCAUUGUGCAAUCAGUUGGAGUCAGCGGUGGCAAGUUACUCAUCAAGCUAAAAGACGGCAGGAAGGUAGAAACUGACCACAUCGUGGCAGCUGUGGGCCUGGAACCCAAUGUUGAGUUGGCCAAGACUGGUGGGCUGGAAAUAGACUCAGAUUUUGGUGGCUUCUGGGUAAAUGCAGAGCUAUAAGCACGCUCUAACAUCUGGGUGGCAGGAGAUGCUGCAUGCUUCUACGACAUAAAGCUGGGGAGGAGGCGGGUAGAGCACCACGAUCAUGCUGUUGUGAGUGGAAGAUUGGCUGGAGAAAAUAUGACCGGAGCUGCUAAGCCAUACUGGCAUCAGUCAGUGUUCUGGAGUGAUUUGGGUCCUGAUGUUGGCUAUGAAGCUAUUGGUCUUGUGGACAGUAGUUUGGCCACAGUUGGUGUUUUUGCAAAAGCAACCGCACAAGACAACCCAAAAUCUGCCACGGAACAGUCAGGGACUAGUAUCCAAUCAGAGAGUGAGACAGAAUCCGAGGCCUCAGAAAUUGCUAUUCCUGCCAGUACUCCUGCAAUUCCACAGGCCCCUGUCCAAGGGGAGGACUACGGCAAAGGUGUCAUCUUCUACCUCAGGGACAAAGUGGUUGUGGGGAUCGUGCUAUGGAACAUCUUUAACAGAAUGCUAAUAGCAAGGAAGAUCAUUAAGGACGGUGAGCAAUAUGAAGAUCUCAAUGAAGUAGCCAAACUAUUCAACAUUCAUGAAGACUGAAGCCCCACCGUGGAAUAGGCAAGCACGUCACCAUCCCUGAUAGCUGGCUAGAUGGGUAAAGAAGCAUUUUUUAUUUGGCAAACUGUGCGAAUGAGUGUAAAUGAUCGAGCAAAUCCUUUGCGAAUAUUUUCAACUAUGUGGGCAAAUUCUUAAUGUUCACAUCACGAAAUAAAAUCUGAUUCUUCUAAA
This is a non-coding RNA of Microcebus murinus (gray mouse lemur), 2208 nucleotides long. The record is from RefSeq and is a predicted model, not a curated record. Lineage: Eukaryota; Metazoa; Chordata; Mammalia; Primates; Cheirogaleidae.